This 295-nucleotide unclassified non-coding RNA is filed under the name uncultured fungus. RNAcentral's name for it is "partial contains 5.8S rRNA, ITS2 and 28S rRNA". It matches the Rfam family "Eukaryotic large subunit ribosomal RNA", at positions 668 to 961 of the family's 3401-position model. The record is from RNAcentral. Lineage: Eukaryota; Fungi.
AAGGAGUCUAACAUAUGCGCAAGUCUUUGGGUGGCAAGCCCUUGGGCCCAAUGAAAGUGAAAUAGGUUUAGUUUUAUUACAACAACCGGCCCGGGACUAUGGGUUUUAAUCCUUGUUAUGAGUUUACGUUCGAGCGUACCUGUUGGGACCCGAAAGAUGGUGAACUAUGCCUGAGCAGGGUGAAGCCAGAGGAAAACCUGGUGGAGGAUCGUAGAUGUUUUGACGUGCAAAUCGAUCGUCGGAUUUGGGUAUAGGGGCGAAAGACUAAUCGAACCAUCUAGUAGCUGGUUCCCAC